GACGAACGCUGGCGGCGUGCUUAACACAUGCAAGUCGAACGGUGAAGCUCCAGCUUGCUGGAGUGGAUCAGUGGCGAACGGGUGAGUAACACGUGAGCAACCUGCCCCUGACUCUGGAAUAAGCGCUGGAAACGGCGUCUAAUACUGGAUACGAGAAGGGUCCGCAUGGGCACUUUCUGGAAAGUUUUUCGGUUGGGGAUGGGCUCGCGGCCUAUCAGCUUGUUGGUGAGGUAAUGGCUCACCAAGGCGACGACGGGUAGCCGGCCUGAGAGGGCGACCGGCCACACUGGGACUGAGACACGGCCCAGAUUCCUACGGGAGGCAGCAGUGGGGAAUAUUGCACAAUGGGCGAAAGCCUGAUGCAGCGACGCCGCGUGAGGGAUGACGGCCUUCGGGUUGUAAACCUCUUUCAGCAGGGAAGAAGCGAAAGUGACGGUACCUGCAGAAGAAGCACCGGCUAACUACGUG
RNAcentral lists this ribosomal RNA (468 nucleotides) under uncultured bacterium. RNAcentral describes it as "partial 16S ribosomal RNA". It matches the Rfam family "Bacterial small subunit ribosomal RNA", at positions 28 to 507 of the family's 1533-position model. The record is from RNAcentral.